Molecule: long non-coding RNA, 1480 nt
Filed under: Callithrix jacchus (white-tufted-ear marmoset)
Lineage: Eukaryota; Metazoa; Chordata; Mammalia; Primates; Cebidae
Description: lncRNA (ENSCJAG00000087161.1)
Source: RNAcentral
AUGAGCACAUAUUUCUUUAAUAAUAAAAUGAAGAAAACAAUCUUAUUGCCGGGCGCGGUGGCUCACGCCUAUAAUCCCAGCACUUUGGGAGGCCGAGGCGGGUGGAUCACGAGGUCAAGAGAUCGAGACCAUCCUGGUCAACACGGUGAAACCCCGUCUCUACUAAAAAUACAAAAAUUAGCUGGGCAUGGUGGUGCAUGCCUGUAAUCCCAGCUACUCAGGAGGCUGAGGCAGGAGAAUUGCCUGAACCCAGGAGGCAGAGGUUGCGGUGAGCCGAGAUCGCGCCAUUGCACUCCAGCCUGGGUAACAAGAGCGAAACUCCGUCUCAAAAAAAAAUGGCUCAUAAGCAUCGUGCCGAUAGGCUGUCUCGUGUUCCUAAGCGCAAGAGGCUAUGGUGUGUCUCAUGGAGAAAACCUGUGUGUUAGAUGAGCUUCCUUCAGGCAUGAGCCACAGUGCUAUUGACAUAGUUCAAUGCUAGUGAGUCAGCAAUGUAUAUUGAAUAAGGUAUCUGUAACCAAAAGCACGCAUCAACAAGGUUUUGUGUUGACCGGUUAAUGAAAAUUCAGGAACCUGAGUGUGUUAACCUUUUCUUUUUCAUUUUCUGUAUUUGCGAUGCUUUGACAUUUGAGAAUGUGCUGAUCCCAGAAAGCCUGCCUUUUCCAGGGCCAGCUAGUUCCUAGAGAUUGAAACAACGUCCCUGGGACUGCGACUCUCUUAUGCAAACCAGUCAGUCCAGACCCCACACCCUUCAACUACCACCUGCGUGGAGCUCCCACAAGUGACCUACAUCCCCCCUGCAGUCCAGGUACAGACAACUAGUGGCAGUUACACCUGAGAGCCCCUGAGAGUGUUCCAAUUAGCCAAUCUGAAGGCUGCCUACCCCCAACUCCUGGUUCCGUCCCUCCCAAGGAAACCAUGCCACCGCACCUGGCUAAUUUUUGUAUCUUUAGUAGAGAUGGGGUUUCACCAUGUCAGUCAGGCUGGUCUCAAAUUCCUGAGCUCAGGUGAUCCAGCUGCCUUGGCCUCCCGAAGUGCUGGGAUUCCAGGCGUGAGCCACCGCACGUGACCCCGUUAUCACUGUUUUAACCCUAACUUGUACACCACCAGGAGAUACAGUGGCAGCUUCCUUCGUGACCAGUUUCUCCCUUUCAGUCACCCUAGGCUAUGUAUCCCUGGACAUGUAGGCUGUGUCCCUGGCAAUCUCUCUCUUCCAAUACCAAUCCACAAGCAUUCCAUCUUGCCCAGGGUGAAGGAGGCUAUCCAGCUAAUUCCCCUUCUUGCAGGACUCGGCAUUACAGCCCCGAGGGGAACCGGAAUUGCCUCCUGAACCUAGAGCCAGCUCUGGAAGGGAAUCGCCAACAACAUUGAGGCCAUGGCUAAAACCUUCACAACUGGGCAAGAACAGAGCGAGUCUCCAGCAGCUGUCGUCCUCAGAAAUCGCUGAGGGCCAGGCAUGUCAGUGGCAGCACAGGGAGGAAUU